RNAcentral lists this ribosomal RNA (932 nucleotides) under Bacillus licheniformis. RNAcentral's name for it is "bacterial SSU rRNA". It matches the Rfam family "Bacterial small subunit ribosomal RNA", at positions 553 to 1476 of the family's 1533-position model. The record is from RNAcentral. Lineage: Bacteria; Bacillati; Bacillota; Bacilli; Caryophanales; Bacillaceae.
UCUGGGCGUAAAGGCGCGGCCGCAGGUCGGUCUGUUAGUCUGAUGUGAAUGCCCCGGCUCACCUGGGAGCGUCAUUCGAAACUGUGAGCUUGAGUGCAGAAAGAGGAGGAGGUGGUAUUUCAUCGUGUAGCGGUGAAAUGCGUAGAUGAUGUGGAAGGAACACCAGUGGCGAAGGGCGACCCUCCUGGUCUGUAACUGACGCUGAGGCGCGAAAGCGUGGGGAGCGAACAGGAUUAGAUACCCUGGUAGUCCACGCCGUAAACGAUGAGUGCUAAGUGUUAGAGGGUUUCCGCCCUUUAGUGCUGCAGCAAACGCAUUAAGCACUCCGCUUGGGGAGUACGGUCGCAAGAUUGAAACUCAAAGGAAUUGAGGGGGGCCCCCCCAAGCGGUGGAGCAUGUGGUUUAAUUGGAAGCAACGGGAAGACCCUUACCAGGUCUUGACAUCUUAUGACAACCCUAGAGAUAGGGGUUCCCCUUCGGGGGCAGAGUGACAGGUGGUGCAUGGUUGUCGUCAGCUCGUGUCGUGAGAUGUUGGGUUAAGUCCCGCAACGAGCGCAACCCUUGAUUUUAGUUGCCAGCAUUCAGUUGGGCACUCUAAGGUGACUGCCGGUGACAAACCGGAGGAAGGUGGGGAUGACGUCAAAUCAUCAUGCCCCUUAUGACCUGGGCUACACACGUGCUACAAUGGGCGGAACAAAGGGCAGCCAAGCCGCGAGGUUAAGCCAAUCCCACAAAUCUGUUCUCAGUUCGGAUCGCAGUCUGCAACUCGACUGCGUGAAGCCGGAAUCGCUAGUAAUCGCGGAUCAGCAUGCCGCGGUGAAUACGUUCCCGGGCCUUGUACACACCGCCCGUCACACCACGAGAGUUUGUAACACCAGAAGUACGGUGUGUUAACCUUAGGAGCCAGCCUCCGAAGGGGGGGACACAGGAUU